UACGUAGGCGGAAGAUUAAGUCAGUGGUGAAAUCCCGCAGCUCAACUGUGGAACUGUCAUUGAUACUGGUUUUCUUGAAUUUAGUUGAGGUAGGCGGAAUGUGUAAUGUAGCGGUGAAAUGCUUAGAUAUUACACAGAACACCGAUUGCGAAGGCAGCUUACUAAACUAUGAUUGACGCUGAGGUACGAAAGCGUGGGGAGCGAACAGGAUUAGAUACCUGGUAGUCC
This 228-nucleotide ribosomal RNA is filed under the name uncultured bacterium. RNAcentral's name for it is "partial 16S ribosomal RNA". It matches the Rfam family "Bacterial small subunit ribosomal RNA", at positions 568 to 796 of the family's 1533-position model. The record is from RNAcentral.